Phragmites australis (common reed) is the source of this 1251-nucleotide long non-coding RNA. RefSeq lists it as uncharacterized. The record is from RefSeq and is a predicted model, not a curated record. The transcript has 2 exons. NCBI's taxonomy places the organism in Eukaryota, Viridiplantae, Streptophyta, Magnoliopsida, Poales, Poaceae.
GAAGACAGUGAGCAUUGAAUUGAUAAGUGUUAAAUGCUCCGCUUUUGAAGGCAGCCGUCCAAGCCAAGAUUGCAACCUUGCACCCAACUUGUCGCUGAGGGGAUAGAUAUGUGCUUUGGAGAACUUGCGUGUGUGCAAUUGGACACCAAGAUAGCGGCAUUGGAAAUGUGUGAUCUCGCCUGGGAAGAGUUGGGAGAUCUGAUCUAGGACGGGUUGUUCACAUCUUAUUGGAUGAAUGUAGCUCUUUUGAAGGCAUCUAUGGGGGCCAAAAUCUGCCGUUGUGUGGCCAACUCAAUGAUGCGAUGUAGUGGGUCGAUGGCCAGAAUGAAUAAAAUAGAAGAUAAGGGGUGGCCCUGACGAACCCCACGGGCCACGUCCAUGGUAGAACCGACCUCCAGGCCGUUGAGCAGAACAUGGGAGGAAGCUGGAGUGUGUAUUUGAUCCAUCCAGACUUGACUUAAUCCUUUGUUGGUUAGUACUACCACCUAGCUUGCUUGCUUGGACAGAUUGAUUGCUUUGUUCCGCAGUUGCUUCCUCUUUCUUUGCUGUGGGCCUUGUACUUGCUCACGAUGAUCUUCACGAAAGCCGUCUUGAGCUUCAGCGCGGCAUCGGCAGGGGCGACGCGUUGGCCGCCGGCGAGCAUGAGCUGCACCGCCUGCUCGGCGAGCGCGUGGAGGCCCUCUGCGGCUAUCGUGCCCAUACCAUCCGCUCCACCUCCGAGGGCGACGGCGAGUUGAACGCGCUUGCUGCGAUGAGGCUGAGCGCAAGGGACACACCGGCUGUGGAGCCGGAGAGAGUAGAGAUCGCUGUGUGCGCCAAACGCUGGGCACGCGCGCGUCCGUUCUCCUCAGCUCCUCACUGAAGUCUAAUCAGCAUUCACCAGAUCAAGGCGGCCGCGUAUUAUUUUACUGUUUACCUCUAGUCGCGUCAGAUGCUACUUUUGAAACAAACAAACAUUCAUGCAGACCACCACAAUCAUUCUAAAUGCUACCGCUAAAUCUGUGAAGGCUUCUACUUUCUUGUGCAAGGAGUCCAGAGAGGUAUUCAUAGCGGUACAAAAACAACACAAGUCUCUGUGCUAACAAUCAUGUCUUUUUCAUGCUGAAAUGGAUGAACAAUACGACCAUACGUGAUGGUAACGAGGACGUACGGCUCCAUCGAUCUCUCAGCAACGGACAACUAGCUAAACCAACACAUUCAUAAGCUCUAUCCCUUUGUAACACACAUGCAGAACUCUUGCCAAGCCAUCAA